RNAcentral lists this ribosomal RNA (460 nucleotides) under uncultured bacterium. Its description in RNAcentral is "partial 16S ribosomal RNA". It matches the Rfam family "Bacterial small subunit ribosomal RNA", at positions 338 to 795 of the family's 1533-position model. The record is from RNAcentral.
CCUACGGGUGGCAGCAGUGAGGAAUAUUGGUCAAUGGGCGCGAGCCUGAACCAGCCAAGUCGCGUGAAGGAUGACUGCCCUACGGGUUGUAAACUUCUUUUAUAAAGGAAUAAAGUGAGGCACGUGUGUCUUUUUGUAUGUACUUUAUGAAUAAGGAUCGGCUAACUCCGUGCCAGCAGCCGCGGUAAUACGGAGGAUCCGAGCGUUAUCCGGAUUUAUUGGGUUUAAAGGGAGCGUAGGUGGGUUGUUAAGUUAGAUGUGAAAGUUUGCGGCUCAACCUUAAAAUUGCAUUUGAUACUGGCAGUCUUGAGUACAGUUGAGGUAGGCGGAAUUCGUGGUGUAGCGGUGAAAUGCUUAGAUAUCACGAAGAACACCGAUUGCGAAGGCAGCUUACUAAACUGCCACUGACAUUGAUGCUCGAAAGUGUGGGUAGCAAACAGGAUUAGAUACCCCUGUAGUC